AUGGUGGUAACGGGUAACGGGGUGUUAGGGCACGACACCGGAGAGGGAGCCUGAGAAACGGCUACCACAUCCAAGGAUGGCAGCAGGCGCGCAAAUUACCCAAUCCCGACACGGGGAGGUAGUGACAAUAAAUAACAAUACGGGGUUCUUUUGGAUCUUGUAAUUGGAAUGAGUACAAUUUAAAUCUCUUAACGAGGAACAAUUGGAGGGCAAGUCUGGUGCCAGCAGCCGCGGUAAUUCCAGCUCCAAUAGCGUAUAUUAAAGUUGUUGCAGUUAAAAAGCUCGUAGUUGAAUUUCGAGACCGGUCUACUGGUCGUGCUUUUGUACGUACUGGUAUAAUCGGUUUCUCUCUUCUGACGAACUAUAAUGCCAUUAAUUUGGUGUUUUAGGGAAUCAGGACUGUUACUUUGAAAAAAUUAGAGUGUUUAAAGCAGGCUCACGCUUGAAUACAUUAGCAUGGAAUAACGAAAUAGGACGUUUGAUUCUAUUUUGUGGGUUUCUAGGAUCGACGUAAUGAUUAAUAGGGAUAGUUGGGGGCAUUAGUAUUCAAUUGUCAGAGGUGAAAUUCUUGGAUUUAUUGAAGACUAACUACUGCGAAAGCAUUUGCCAAGGAUGUUUUCAUUAAUCAAGAACGAAAGUUAGGGCAUCGAAGACGAUCAGAUACCGUCGUAGUCUUAACCAUAAAUUAUGCCGA
Molecule: ribosomal RNA, 694 nt
Filed under: uncultured Glomeromycotina
Lineage: Eukaryota; Fungi; Glomeromycota
Description: SSU rRNA
Rfam family: Eukaryotic small subunit ribosomal RNA
Source: RNAcentral